This 443-nucleotide long non-coding RNA is filed under the name Volvox carteri. RNAcentral's name for it is "long non-coding RNA (VCAR_LNC003084)". Lineage: Eukaryota; Viridiplantae; Chlorophyta; Chlorophyceae; Chlamydomonadales; Volvocaceae. The record is from RNAcentral.
ACGUUACGGGUCCCGUAAUUUGAGCACAAGGAUACAGGUGAACAUUUACGGGUGAAGACCCAGUGAUUACGGGUGGAUUUUACGCGGUGCUGGAGGUUAAUUACGGGCGCAUGUAACCAAUUACACGCAAAAUUACGGGUGAAGACCCAGUGAUUACAGGUGGAUUUUACGUGGUGCUGGAGGUUAAUUACGGGCGCAUGUAACCAAUUACACGCAAAAUUACGGGUGAAGACCCAGUGAUUACGGGUGGAUUUUACGCGGUGCUGGAGGUGAAUUACGGGCGCAUGUAACCAAUUACACGCGAAAUUACGGGUGAAGACCCAGUGAUUACGGGUGGAUUUUACGCGGUGCUGGAGGUGAAUUACGGGCGCAUGUAACCAAUUACACGCAAAAUUACGGGUGAAGACCCAGUGAUUACGGGUGGAUUUUACGCGGUGCUGGAG